This 344-nucleotide transfer-messenger RNA is filed under the name bovine gut metagenome. Its description in RNAcentral is "Alphaproteobacteria transfer-messenger RNA". It matches the Rfam family "Alphaproteobacteria transfer-messenger RNA". Rfam says of the family: Bacterial tmRNA, also known as 10Sa RNA or SsrA, is named for its dual tRNA and mRNA-like properties. Its role is to liberate the mRNA from a stalled ribosome. To accomplish this part of the tmRNA is used as a reading frame that ends in a translation stop signal. The record is from RNAcentral.
GCAAUUUCCAGUAUAAAGAUUAUAAUCAAUUCGUCACUUAUGUGAUGAUGAUUCUGAACCCGAUGCGGAAUAGUCGUUUUGGACCCGGGGGCGGUACCCGGCACCUCCACCAAUAAAACAUACGGGGGUGUCACAGUUUCGACAGACGCAAUAAAGGCAUAUGGCUGAAUCCGACAUGGUUGUCGUUAAAUACCAAUAAAAACAUGAAUGGCGAUAGAAUCGCUGCGAACGACAAUGUUCGCCUUGCAAUGGCCGCCUAAUAAUGGCUUGGACGCGGUUGGCGAUUGUUAACCUGUCCGUUUUGGCUUUUGCGGGGUUUGCCGGGUACCUGGCACCAGAAACCC